GCAUGCAUAUCUUGUGUUAGAAGAGGAUGGACAAGCACACGAUUCGCAUCUACGGUCUAGCCUUGCUACUGUCUCUCCAUCUCCUAUGCUCCGCACCUACUGCGCAAUGUCGUAUCAUCGGUGAAGAAGACGUGGAUGACGAGAAGAUCAAUUUACCGUAUGGACUUUGUGUCAACAAUAGACCGUGCAAAGCUGGAUGGGUCUGCUUGUGUUGUCUCCUCAAUCAAGAGUGCUACCCGUCCAUGGAUGCAUGCAAGAAAGACUGUCUGAAACCCUCUGCCGCUGACAUGGUGUCCAUGGCAAUGACCCGUUCUCCUUUACCUGCCCCCUCUCCCGCCUCUUCAUUAGGUUCAGUUUGAGUUGCAUAUUUUUGACUGCGACCUAAUGGAUAUUCUGUUAAAAAUAAUUUGGAAUAGAAGUAUCUAAUACAUUAGUUGCUGCAGUUUGAUUUGA
Triticum dicoccoides is the source of this 453-nucleotide long non-coding RNA. RefSeq lists it as uncharacterized. The transcript has 2 exons. The record is from RefSeq and is a predicted model, not a curated record. NCBI's taxonomy places the organism in Eukaryota, Viridiplantae, Streptophyta, Magnoliopsida, Poales, Poaceae.